Molecule: ribosomal RNA, 468 nt
Filed under: Poospiza nigrorufa (black-and-chestnut warbling-finch)
Lineage: Eukaryota; Metazoa; Chordata; Aves; Passeriformes; Thraupidae
Description: Poospiza whitii (black-and-chestnut warbling-finch) partial 16S ribosomal RNA
Rfam family: Bacterial large subunit ribosomal RNA
Source: RNAcentral
UAUCCUAACCGUGCAAAGGUAGCGCAAUCAAUUGUCCCAUAAAUCGAGACUAGUAUGAAUGGCUAAACGAGGUCUUAACUGUCUCUUACAGGCAAUCGGUGAAAUUGAUCUCCCUGUACAAAAGCAGGGAUAUACCCAUAAGACGAGAAGACCCUGUGGAACUUUAAAACCUGCAACCACCUUGAAACACAUUCACUCCCACCGGGUUCACUGACACACAAGAUGCUGGUCUGCGUUUUUCGGUUGGGGCGACCUUGGAGCAAAACAAAACCUCCAAAGAUUAGACCAUACCUCUAGACUGAGAGCAACCCCUCAACGUGCUAAUAGCACCCAGACCCAAUACAAUUGAUCAAUGGACCAAGCUACCCCAGGGAUAACAGCGCAAUCUCCUCCGAGAGUCCGUAUCGACGGGGAGGUUUACGACCUCGAUGUUGGAUCAGGACAUCCUAGUGGUGCAGCCGCUACUAA